GCACUGUUGAAGAGUCCCAUACUAGGAUGAAACGGCCGUCCAGUGU
Molecule: non-coding RNA, 46 nt
Filed under: Schistosoma bovis
Lineage: Eukaryota; Metazoa; Platyhelminthes; Trematoda; Strigeidida; Schistosomatidae
Also listed under: 1 other name
Source: RNAcentral